Molecule: ribosomal RNA, 253 nt
Filed under: uncultured bacterium
Lineage: Bacteria
Description: partial 16S ribosomal RNA
Rfam family: Bacterial small subunit ribosomal RNA
Source: RNAcentral
UACGUAGGGGGCAAGCGUUGUCCGGAUUUAUUGGGCGUAAAGAGCGUGUAGGCGGCCAUGCAGGUCCGUUGUGAAAACUCGAGGCUCAACCUCGAGACGUCGAUGGAAACCGCAUGGCUAGAGUCCGGAAGAGGAGAGUGGAAUUCCUGGUGUAGCGGUGAAAUGCGUAGAUAUCGGGAGGAACAUCAGUGGCGAAGGCGGCCAUCUGGACCAACACUGACACUGAGGCACAAAAGCGUGGGUAGCAAACAGG